AUGCUUGGAUAGUUCAGUGGUAGAACACUUACCGUAGGUAAAGUAGCAUGGGUUCGAUUCCCAUUCCUCG
Molecule: transfer RNA, 70 nt
Filed under: Bacillus phage BCU4
Lineage: Duplodnaviria; Heunggongvirae; Uroviricota; Caudoviricetes; Herelleviridae
Description: tRNA-Tyr
Rfam family: tRNA
About the family: Transfer RNA (tRNA) molecules are approximately 80 nucleotides in length. Their secondary structure includes four short double-helical elements and three loops (D, anti-codon, and T loops).
Source: RNAcentral